RNAcentral lists this ribosomal RNA (482 nucleotides) under uncultured bacterium. RNAcentral's name for it is "partial 16S ribosomal RNA". It matches the Rfam family "Bacterial small subunit ribosomal RNA", at positions 30 to 507 of the family's 1533-position model. The record is from RNAcentral.
AUUGAACGCUGGCGGCAUGCCUUACACAUGCAAGUCGAACGGUAACAGGUCUUCGGAUUCUGACGAGUGGCGAACGGGUGAGUAAUACAUCGGAACGUGCCCGAUCGUGGGGGAUAACGAGGCGAAAGCUUUGCUAAUACCGCAUACGAUCUACGGAUGAAAGCGGGGGAUCUUCGGACCUCGCGCGGACGGAGCGGCCGAUGGCAGAUUAGGUAGUUGGUGGGAUAAAAGCUUACCAAGCCGACGAUCUGUAGCUGGUCUGAGAGGAUGAUCAGCCACACUGGGACUGAGACACGGCCCAGACUCCUACGGGAGGCAGCAGUGGGGAAUUUUGGACAAUGGGCGAAAGCCUGAUCCAGCCAUGCCGCGUGCAGGAUGAAGGCCUUCGGGUUGUAAACUGCUUUUGUACGGAACGAAAAGCCUCUUUCUAAUAAAGAGGGGUCAUGACGGUACCGUAAGAAUAAGCACCGGCUAACUACGUG